AGUGAACGCUGGCGGUAGGCCUAACACAUGCAAGUCGAACGGCAGCACAGUAAGAGCUUGCUCUUACGGGUGGCGAGUGGCGGACGGGUGAGGAAUACAUCGGAAUCUACUUUUUCGUGGGGAUAACGUAGGGAAACUUACGCUAAUACCGCAUACGACCUACGGGUGAAAGCAAGGGAUCUUCGGACCUUGCGCGAUUGAAUGAGCCGAUGUCGGAUUAGCUAGUUGGCGGGGUAAAGGCCCACCAAGGCGACGAUCCGUAGCUGGUCUGAGAGGAUGAUCAGCCACACUGGAACUGAGACACGGUCCAGACUCCUACGGGAGGCAGCAGUGGGGAAUAUUGGACAAUGGGCGUAAGCCUGAUCCAGCCAUACCGCGUGGGUGAAGAAGGCCUUCGGGUUGUAAAGCCCUUUUGUUGGGAAAGAAAAGCAGCAGGUUAAUACCCCGCUGUUCUGACGGUACCCAAAGAAUAAGCACCGGCUAACUUCGUG
Molecule: ribosomal RNA, 491 nt
Filed under: uncultured bacterium
Lineage: Bacteria
Description: partial 16S ribosomal RNA
Rfam family: Bacterial small subunit ribosomal RNA
Source: RNAcentral